Molecule: ribosomal RNA, 481 nt
Filed under: uncultured bacterium
Lineage: Bacteria
Description: partial 16S ribosomal RNA
Rfam family: Bacterial small subunit ribosomal RNA
Source: RNAcentral
GAUGAACGCUGGCGGCGUGCUUAACACAUGCAAGUCGAACGAAGCACUUUAUUUGAUUUCCUUCGGGACUGAUUAUUUUGUGACUGAGUGGCGGACGGGUGAGUAACGCGUGGGUAACCUGCCUUGUACAGGGGGAUAACAGUUGGAAACGGCUGCUAAUACCGCAUAAGCGCACAGCAUCGCAUGAUGCAGUGUGAAAAACUCCGGUGGUAUAAGAUGGACCCGCGUUGGAUUAGCUAGUGGGUGAGGUAACGGCCCACCAAGGCGACGAUCCAUAGCCGACCUGGGAGGGUGACCGGCCACAUUGGGACUGGGACACGGCCCAAACUCCUACGGGAGGCAGCAGUGGGGAAUAUUGCACAAUGGGCGAAAGCCUGAUGCAGCGACGCCGCGUGAGCGAAGAAGUAUUUCGGUAUGUAAAGCUCUAUCAGCAGGGAAGAUAAUGACGGUACCUGACUAAGAAGCACCGGCUAAAUACGUG